AAGAGACAGCAGUAGCCGCGGUAAAACGGAGGGUGCAAGCGUUAAUCGGAAUUACUGGGCGUAAAGCGCACGCAGGCGGUUUGUUAAGUCAGAUGUGAAAUCCCCGAGCUUAACUUGGGAACUGCAUUUGAAACUGGCAAGCUAGAGUCUUGUAGAGGGGGGUAGAAUUCCAGGUGUAGCGGUGAAAUGCGUAGAGAUCUGGAGGAAUACCGGUGGCGAAGGCGGCCCCCUGGACAAAGACUGACGCUCAGGUGCGAAAGCGUGGGGAGCAAACAGGAUUAGAUACCCCGGUAGUCCCUGUCUCUUAUAC
This 310-nucleotide ribosomal RNA is filed under the name uncultured bacterium. Its description in RNAcentral is "partial 16S ribosomal RNA". It matches the Rfam family "Bacterial small subunit ribosomal RNA", at positions 503 to 807 of the family's 1533-position model. The record is from RNAcentral.